UGGACCAUUGAUAACGACUAGUGGUAUAUGAGUCAAGGCUCAUGGAUAUGUGUCUGGGCUUCUGAGGUCCAA
RNAcentral lists this small nucleolar RNA (72 nucleotides) under Equus asinus (donkey). Its description in RNAcentral is "Small nucleolar RNA SNORD113/SNORD114 family (ENSEASG00005023713.1)". It matches the Rfam family "Small nucleolar RNA SNORD113/SNORD114 family". From Rfam's summary of the family: The imprinted human domain at 14q32 contains two clusters of tandemly repeated small nucleolar RNAs named 14q(I) and 14q(II) snoRNAs. These two clusters are named SNORD113 and SNORD114 respectively in the HGNC approved gene symbol nomenclature. The record is from Rfam by way of RNAcentral. Lineage: Eukaryota; Metazoa; Chordata; Mammalia; Perissodactyla; Equidae.